GCCCGGAUGGCGGAAUUGGUAGACGCGCUGGUCUCAAACACCAGUAUGGUUAAACAUGUAUCGGUUCGACUCCGAUUCCGGGCAC
RNAcentral lists this transfer RNA (85 nucleotides) under Bacteroidia bacterium. Its description in RNAcentral is "tRNA-Leu". It matches the Rfam family "tRNA". Rfam says of the family: Transfer RNA (tRNA) molecules are approximately 80 nucleotides in length. Their secondary structure includes four short double-helical elements and three loops (D, anti-codon, and T loops). Further hydrogen bonds mediate the characteristic L-shaped molecular structure. tRNAs have two regions of fundamental functional importance: the anti-codon, which is responsible for specific mRNA codon recognition, and the 3' end, to which the tRNAs corresponding amino acid is attached (by aminoacyl-tRNA synthetases). tRNAs cope with the degeneracy of the genetic code in two manners: having more than one tRNA (with a specific anti-codon) for a particular amino acid; and 'wobble' base-pairing, i.e. permitting non-standard base-pairing at the 3rd anti-codon position. The record is from RNAcentral. Lineage: Bacteria; Pseudomonadati; Bacteroidota; Bacteroidia.